UACGGAAGGCAGCAGUGGGGAAUAUUGCACAAUGGGCGAAAGCCUGAUGCAGCUAUGCCGCGUGUAUGAAGAAGGCCUUAGGGUUGUAAAGUACUUUCAUCGGGGAGGAAAAACAAAACUAAUAAUUUUAUUUCUUGACGUUACCCGAAAAAGAAGCACCGGCUAACUCCGUGCCAGCAGCCGCGGUAAUACGGAGGGUGCUAGCGUUAAUCAGAAUUACUGGGCGUAAAGAGCACGUAGGUGGUUUUUUUAAGUCAGAUGUGAAAUCCCUGGGCUUAACCUAGGAACUGCAUUUUGAAACUGAAAUACUAGAGUAUCGUAGAGGGAGGUAGAAUUCUAGGUGUAGCGGUGAAAUGCGUAGAUAUCUGGAGGAAUACCUGUGGCGAAAGCGGCCUCCUAAACGAAUACUGACACUGAGGUGCGAAAGCGUGGGGAGCAAAC
This 441-nucleotide ribosomal RNA is filed under the name uncultured bacterium. Its description in RNAcentral is "bacterial SSU rRNA". It matches the Rfam family "Bacterial small subunit ribosomal RNA", at positions 340 to 773 of the family's 1533-position model. The record is from RNAcentral.